RNAcentral lists this ribosomal RNA (613 nucleotides) under Phaeogenes eguchii. RNAcentral's name for it is "eukaryotic LSU rRNA". It matches the Rfam family "Eukaryotic large subunit ribosomal RNA", at positions 417 to 780 of the family's 3401-position model. The record is from RNAcentral. Lineage: Eukaryota; Metazoa; Arthropoda; Insecta; Hymenoptera; Ichneumonidae.
AAACCUGAGAAACCCGAAAGAUCGAAUGGGGAGAUUCAUCGUCAGCGAUUCUGGUACGUGUGCGGUUCGCGAUGUCGGAGACUUCGGUCUCACGGCACGCGUCCGCAUGUUUUUUAUUGCCGGAGUCGUCGGCGUGCACUUCUCCCCUAGUAGGACGUCGCGACCCGUUGGGUGUCGGUCUACGGCACGGUAGGGCAGCCUGUCUCGUGUGGCGCUUCACGGCGUUCAGCGAGGCAGACCUCCGUCCGCCCGACCGACUGCCCGGCGGUACUCGCAUGAUAUCUAGUCGCAGCCAUUCGAACUGCGUCCGGCCCGUCGCAAGCGAGGCAAGUGUUUCCCGGCUGUACGGAUCUGAUGCCGUCACCGGGCCUUGCCAGCUGUUGGCUGACGGUGUCCUAGGACAGGCUAAAGAUAUCGGUCAGCGACGCUACUGCUUUGGGUACUUUCAGGACCCGUCUUGAAACACGGACCAAGGAGUCUAACAUGUGCGCGAGUCAUUGGGAACUUGUAAGCCUAAAGGCGCAAUGAAAGUAAAAGUCGGCCUCGCGCCGACCGAGGGAGGAUGGGCCGCGUCACGAUGCGGUCUCGCACUCCCGGGGCGUCUCGUUCUCAU